GUUAUAUGGUCAAGCGAAUAAGCGCACACGGUGGAUGCCUAGGCGGUCAGAGGCGAUGAAGGACGUGGUAGCCUGCGAAAAGUGUCGGGGAGCUGGCAACAAGCUUUGAUCCGGCAAUAUCCGAAUGGGGAAACCCACUGCUUCGGCAGUAUCCUGCAGUGAAUUCAUAGCUGCUGGAAGCGAACCCGGUGAACUGAAAUAUCUAAGUAACCGGAGGAAAAGAAAUCAACCGAGAUUCCCUAAGUAGUGACGAGCGAACGGGGAGCAGCCCUUAAGCUGGAAUGGCUUUAGAAAAACAAUCUGGAAAGAUUGGCCAUAGAAGGUGAUAGCCCUGUAUUUAAAAGGGCCACUCCAGUGAAGACGAGUAGGGCGGGGCACGUGAAACCCUGUCUGAAUAUGGGGGGACCAUCCUCCAAGGCUAAAUACUCCUGACCGACCGAUAGUGAACCAGUACCGUGAGGGAAAGGCGAAAAGAACCCCGGAGAGGGGAGUGAAAUAGAUCCUGAAACCGUGUGCGUACAAGCAGUAGGAGCUCGCAAGAGUGACUGCGUACCUUUUGUAUAAUGGGUCAGCGACUUACUGUUCGUGGCAAGCUUAACCGUAUAGGGGAGGCGAAGGGAAACCGAGUCUGAUAAGGGCGCAUAGUCGCGGGCAGUAGACCCGAAACCGGGUGAUCUAGUCAUGGCCAGGGUGAAGGUGCCGUAACAGGUACUGGAGGCCCGAACCCACGUCUGUUGCAAAAGACGGGGAUGAGCUGUGAUUAGGAGUGAAAAGCUAAUCGAACCCGGAGAUAGCUGGUUCUCCUCGAAAGCUAUUUAGGUAGCGCCUCGGACGAAUACUACUGGGGGUAGAGCACUGUUAUGGCUAGGGGGUCAUCGCGACUUACCAAACCAUUGCAAACUCCGAAUACCAGUACGUACUAUCCGGGAGACACACGGCGGGUGCUAACGUCCGUCGUGAAAAGGGAAACAACCCAGACCCACAGCUAAGGUCCCAAAUUCACUGCUAAGUGGAAAACGAUGUGGAAAGGCAUAGACAGCCAGGAGGUUGGCUUAGAAGCAGCCACCCUUUAAAGAAAGCGUAAUAGCUCACUGGUCGAGUCGGUCUGCGCGGAAGAUUUAACGGGGCUAAGCAGUGAACCGAAGCUUGGGGUGCAUAAAACUUGUUUUAUGCGCGGUAGAGGAGCGUUCCGUAAGCCUGCGAAGGUGGAUUGAGAAGUCUGCUGGAGGUAUCGGAAGUGCGAAUGCUGACAUGAGUAACGAUAAUGCGGGUGAAAAGCCCGCACGCCGAAAGCCCAAGGUUUCCUUGCGCAACGUUAAUCGACGCAGGGUUAGUCGGUCCCUAAGGCGAGGGCGAAAGCCGUAGUCGAUGGGAAGCAGGUUAAUAUUCCUGCACCUCGCGUGAGUGCGAUGGAGGGACGGAGAAGGUUAGGUGUACCGGGCGUUGGUUGUCCCGGGGAAAGGCGGUAGGUUUGGAUCUUUGGCAAAUCCGGGAUCCUUUAAGACCGAGCACCGAGACGAGCCUUUAUGGCGAAGUCACUGAUACCACGCUUCCAGGAAAAGCUCCUAAGCUUCAGCUCACGAAGACCGUACCGUAAACCGACACAGGUGGGUAGGAUGAGAAUUCUCAGGCGCUUGAGAGAACUCGGGUGAAGGAACUAGGCAACAUGGCACCGUAACUUCGGGAGAAGGUGCACCCUUUUUGGUGGCUCAUGCGAGCUAUAGCUGAAGAGGGUCGCAGAAACCAGGCCGCUGCGACUGUUUAUCAAAAACACAGCACUCUGCAAACACGAAAGUGGACGUAUAGGGUGUGACGCCUGCCCGGUGCUGGAAGGUUAAUUGAUGGGGUCAGCCGCAAGGCGAAGCUCUUGAUCGAAGCCCCAGUAAACGGCGGCCGUAACUAUAACGGUCCUAAGGUAGCGAAAUUCCUUGUCGGGUAAGUUCCGACCUGCACGAAUGGCGUAACGACAGCGGCGCUGUCUCCACCCGAGACUCAGUGAAAUUGAAAUCGCUGUGAAGAUGCAGCGUUCCCGUGGCAAGACGGAAAGACCCCGUGAACCUUUACUAUAGCUUUACACUGAACGUUGAGUUCGUCUGUGUAGGAUAGGUGGGAGGCUAUGAAACUGUGGCGCUAGCUGCAGUGGAGCCAUCCUUGAAAUACCACCCUGUCGUGCUUGACGUUCUAACCUAGAUCCGUUAUCCGGAUCAGGGACCGUGUAUGGUGGGUAGUUUGACUGGGGCGGUCUCCUCCUAAAGAGUAACGGAGGAGCACGAAGGUACGCUCAGCGCGGUCGGACAUCGCGCACUGUGUGCAAAGGCAUAAGCGUGCUUGACUGCAAGAUCGACGGAUCAAGCAGGUACGAAAGUAGGUCUUAGUGAUCCGGUGGUUCUGUAUGGAAGGGCCAUCGCUCAACGGAUAAAAGGUACUCCGGGGAUAACAGGCUGAUACCGCCCAAGAGUUCAUAUCGACGGCGGUGUUUGGCACCUCGAUGUCGGCUCAUCACAUCCUGGGGCUGUAGUCGGUCCCAAGGGUAUGGCUGUUCGCCAUUUAAAGUGGUACGCGAGCUGGGUUCAGAACGUCGUGAGACAGUUCGGUCCCUAUCUGCCAUGGGCGUUGGAAGUUUGAGAGGGGCUGCUCCUAGUACGAGAGGACCGGAGUGGACGAACCUCUGGUGUUCCGGUUGUCACGCCAGUGGCAUUGCCGGGUAGCUAUGUUCGGAAGCGAUAACCGCUGAAAGCAUCUAAGCGGGAAGCGCGCCUCAAGAUGAGACUUCCCGGGGCACAAGCCCCCUAAAGGAACCAUAUAGACUAUGUGGUUGAUAGGUCAGGUGUGUAAGUACAGCAAUGUAUUGAGCUAACUGAUACUAAUGAUCCGUGCGGCUUGACCAUAUAACCU
This 2895-nucleotide ribosomal RNA is filed under the name Xanthomonas arboricola. RNAcentral's name for it is "bacterial LSU rRNA". It matches the Rfam family "Bacterial large subunit ribosomal RNA". The record is from RNAcentral. Lineage: Bacteria; Pseudomonadati; Pseudomonadota; Gammaproteobacteria; Lysobacterales; Lysobacteraceae. RNAcentral also lists the same sequence under 4 other names.